UCCCAGACUCCUACGGGAGGCAGCAGUGGGGAAUAUUGCACAAUGGGGGAAACCCUGAUGCAGCGACGCCGCGUGAGUGAAGAAGUAUUUCGGUAUGUAAAGCUCUAUCAGCAGGAACGAGACAAGACGGUACCUGACUAAGAAGCCCCGGCUAACUACGUGCCAGCAGCCGCGGUAAUACGUAGGGGGCAAGCGUUAUCCGGAAUCACUGGGUGUAAAGGGAGCGUAGACGGCUGUGCAAGCCUGAAGUGAAGGGCGGGGGCCCAACCCCUGGACUGCUUUGGGAACUGUACGGCUGGAGUGCAGGAGAGGUAAGUGGAAUUCCUAGUGUAGCGGUGAAAUGCGUAGAUAUUAGGAGGAACACCAGUGGCGAAGGCGGCUUACUGGACUGUAACUGACGUUGAGGCUCGAAAGCGUGGGGAGCAAACAGGAUUAGAUACCCGGGUAA
This 448-nucleotide ribosomal RNA is filed under the name uncultured bacterium. Its description in RNAcentral is "bacterial SSU rRNA". It matches the Rfam family "Bacterial small subunit ribosomal RNA", at positions 329 to 793 of the family's 1533-position model. The record is from RNAcentral.